This 2350-nucleotide long non-coding RNA is filed under the name Olea europaea (common olive). Its description in RNAcentral is "long non-coding RNA (OEUR_LNC015613)". Lineage: Eukaryota; Viridiplantae; Streptophyta; Magnoliopsida; Lamiales; Oleaceae. The record is from RNAcentral.
AAUUCCCCAAAAACAAGUAAUUGGUGCACGUGUAAGUCAAAGGUGGAAAACCAAUUGUCUAGAAAAAUUUUACUAUCAAACAAGUCAAAAGUGAGAAAUGAAAUUUGUUUUCCAUUUUCCAUGGAAAAUUUUGCGAUAUCAAACAUGGCCUAAGUGUAUUUAUUUUUUAUUUUUUUAUACUUAUAACAAGAAAUUUCAAUAAUUAAUUGUUUGGUAGGGAUUUUGAUCAUUGAUUUUUUUAUCAUUUGAGAUAAAGUGGGUCCCACCUGUUAGAAUAAUUCAAAAAUAACGAUUGAAAUAACGAUAAAAAAAUUGAUGUUAAUUGAAUUAAAAUCCCUACCAAACAUGCUCAAAAUUAUAAACAUGACUUGAGUAAUAUCUAACACUUAAUUCAAGCCUGUCAAUCAAUCGUUACAUAUACAACUACUAUUACUAUAGGCGAUAGAUGCUAAAAUAGGUUUCCCGUUUCCUUAACAAUUAAGUGACUUUUCAUUUUAUCAAUUCAAGCAGUCAUUUUCGAGAAUUCAUUUAAGGAUGUUCACAAUAUAAUUUUAGAUUCUAUUUUUCAAUGAAUAAUGUUAUUUACAGUCGUCCAUUAUUACAGUCGUCCUACGUGACAUACAUGUGGUGGUAUCAAAUCACUAACCACCACAUAUACACGACAUAGGACGACUACGACAGUAAACGAUUGCAAAUAGCAUUACUCUUUUUCAAAUGAUUGUACGAUAUAGCAUGGAAAUUUAUUAUGCAAUUGAUUGCUUGAAAAUAUGCAUCCUAACUUUUUAAAGUUCGAAGAAAUUUGCUUUCUUGGCUUCGAUAAUACAACCAGAAUUGAUUCAAUGGUGUAUGCAAUGUAGUUUUUGGUUCUAUUUUUCAAAGUGAUGGUACGAUCAAGCAUGGCAUUCACUGUGCAAUUGAUUGCUUGAAAUAUGAGUUCCAAGAAAUUUCCAUUCUUAGCUUAUUGGAGCACAAUUCACUAUGCACUCAACUUGAAAGGCAAAAAGUAGAUGAAACAAGAUUCAAAAAAGGGGAAAAGAAUUCAUGAUUCCAUGAAUUUAAUGCUGCACGUAAUUUAAAGAGUGUGAUUGUGUCAAGUUGCAAGAAAUUUGCUUUCUUGGCUUCAGAAUUAAUUCAAGUGUUUGCAAAAUAAUGGUACGAUCAAGCAUGGGCAAACACUGUGCAAUUGAUUGCUUGAAGAGUUCCAAGAAAUCUUCUUUCUUAGCUUAUUGGAGCACAAUUCACUAUGCACUCAACUUGAAAGGCCAAAAGUAAUAAGAUUAAAAAUAAUAAUAAUAAAAAAAAAUCAUGAUUGCAUGAAUUUAAUGCUGCACAUAAUUUAAGAGAGUGUGAUUGUGUCAAGUUGCAAAAAUCUUUCGUAUCGUUGCCUCAGAAUAUGUGAUUUUCUUCUUCUCUCAUUUUAGUAAAUUGUAUUUUUUUUUCUUUUUUGUGUCUAAUAAUUAAGAAAACAUAUUUAUUGAUUGUUUUUAUUCAUUUGGCGUAAGAUUAUUUUUGUUUGUGACAGUUGAAAACAAUUGCGGAAUUGAUUGUUGAGUUGGACCAGUGUCCGAAAAUGUAAAAUUUGAGUUUUACCAACUUAAGCUAAAUGAUUAUGUAACUUGUAUGAAUUAGGUUUGCGUGAAAACUCUUCAAACUAUUACUUAAUCUUUUUGCCAAAACAUGUACAUGAAACAAUUAAUUUUUAUCCCAUAUUCAUUUUAUGGAUCAUAUUUUUGUUUUCUUGUAUGAUUAUUUAGGUAAUGAAAUAGUAGACUAUAAUGCCACGAAACAUAUAAUGUCUGAAUAAGUACUCUGUAAUUUAUUCUAUGAAAUGAUGGGACUCGAAGAUGCCAAAUGCUAGACUAAAUUAAAUAGAAAAAAAUCAUUUGAAAAUAAAUCAUGUGACUCUACUGUUAGUACACAGGUUAUUAGGGUUUUAUUGUAAAUUUUAGGAAGGGUACGGCAAUACUGUAAUAUUUAAAUCCUUUCCACAUUAUAGUUUACACUUUUUGUCCAAUAUUCUUCUUGAUUUUUUAUUUUAUUUUUUUCAUUUUUUAUUGCUUUCAAAACUUGAAGUGAUCCAUACUUAUCGUUAGGCUACCUUUCCAAUAACAUAUCAUCAAAUGUGCAUUUGAAUAAUUAUUUUAACAUGCUUGCGAUACGUUUUAAGCCGUAUUUUUUUUAUUUGUGAAUAAAACAUACUAUUUGUAAUUUUCUUAGUUUUUAUGGGGAAUAUGUAACAGUUAAUUUUUUAUGUAACUAUAUAUUAGGCUAGUCUAGAGCAUGCCUUGUAGCUAUAGGAUAUUUCCAUUGAUUCAAAAUAAAGGAUUCUUCGAGUUCUACGAAAAUUAUG